Molecule: ribosomal RNA, 776 nt
Filed under: uncultured Neocallimastigales
Lineage: Eukaryota; Fungi; Neocallimastigomycota; Neocallimastigomycetes; Neocallimastigales
Description: partial large subunit ribosomal RNA
Rfam family: Eukaryotic large subunit ribosomal RNA
Source: RNAcentral
UUAUCUCUGUAGAGUCUGCAUAUCAAUAAGCGGAGGAAAAGAAACUAACAAGGAUUCCCUUAGUAACGGCGAGUGAAGCGGGAAGAGCUCAAAUUUGAAAUCUUCAAGGUUCUACCUUGACGAAUUGUAGUUUAAAGAAGUGUUUUCUGUUAGAUGAGUAGCAAAAGUUCCAUUGGAAUGGGACAUCAUAGAGGGUGAGAAUCCCGUAUUUGGUUAUUCAUUCUAGCUUUGUGAUACACUUUCAAAGAGUCGGAUUGUUUGGGAAUGCAGUCCAAAAUGGGUGGUAAAUUUCAUCUAAAGCUAAAUAUUGGCGAGAGACCGAUAGCGAACAAGUACCGUGAGGGAAAGAUGAAAAGAACUUUGAAAAGAGAGUUAAACAGUACGUGAAAUUGUCAAAAGGGAAGCGUUUGACACCAGUGUUGUUUUCUCGAAAAUCAAUUAAGAAUGGCUUGAUUUUGUGUUGUAUUGACCUUAUAAGCUUUCUUCACUUUUUUCAUGUCUUUUUAAUGCACUUUUCGGUUAACAAGUCAACAUCAAUUUCUUUUGUUGUAAAAGAGUCAUUCGGAAGGUGGCUUUCUUUUCGGAGAAAGUGUUUAUAGCCUUUGACUCCUGCAAUCGGAGAGACUGAGGUCUGCAGCGUAGAUCCUUCUGGAUUAGAUUCAUUUGUGCUAAGUUACAACCGUUUAUAGACAACUUGUUGACUAUAUUCGAUCCUGUAGCUUACUCGCUUAUGUAAUUUUACCUACGCUUAGGAUGUUGACUGAUAUGUAGUCGUA